Molecule: ribosomal RNA, 374 nt
Filed under: uncultured organism
Description: bacterial SSU rRNA
Rfam family: Bacterial small subunit ribosomal RNA
Source: RNAcentral
CGUAGGGACCAAGCGUUGUUCGGAUUUACUGGGCGUAAAGGGCGCGUAGGCGGCAAUUCAAGUCAUCUGUGAAAUCUCCGGGCUUAACCCAGAACUGUCAGAUGAUACUGCUUUGCUAGAGUGCGGAAGGGGCAAUCGGAAUUCUUGGUGUAGCGGUGAAAUGCGUAGAUAUCAAGAGGAACACCUGAGGUGAAGACGGGAUGCUGGGCCGACACUGACGCUGAGUGCGCGAAAGCCAGGGGAGCAAACGGGAUUAGAUACCCCGGUAGUCCUGGCCUUAAACGAUGAAUACUUGGUGUCUGGAGUCUUUAAUGCUCCGGGUGCCGUCGCUAACGUUUUUAGUAUUCCGCCUGGGGAGUACGCUCGCAAGAGUG